This 497-nucleotide ribosomal RNA is filed under the name uncultured bacterium. RNAcentral's name for it is "partial 16S ribosomal RNA". It matches the Rfam family "Bacterial small subunit ribosomal RNA", at positions 28 to 507 of the family's 1533-position model. The record is from RNAcentral.
GACGAACGCUGGCGGCGUGCCUAAUACAUGCAAGUUGAGCGAUGAAGCUUGGUGCUUGCACCAAUUUGAAGAGCAGCGAACGGGUGAGUAACGCGUGGGGAAUCUGCCUUUGAGCGGGGGACAACAUUUGGAAACGAAUGCUAAUACCGCAUAACAACUUUAAACAUAAGUUUUAAGUUUGAAAGAUGCAAUUGCAUCACUCAAAGAUGAUCCCGCGUUGUAUUAGCUAGUUGGUGAGGUAAAGGCUCACCAAGGCGAUGAUACAUAGCCGACCUGAGAGGGAGAGCGGCCACAUUGGGACUGAGACACGGCCCAAACUCCUACGGGAGGGAGCAGUAGGGAAUCUUCGGCAAUGGACGAGAGUCUGGCCGAGCAACGCCGCUUGAGUGAAGAAGGUUUUCGGAUCGUAAAACUCUGUUGGUAGAGAAGAACGUUGGUGAGAGUGGAAAGCUCAUCAAGUGACGGUAACUACACAGAAAGGGACGGCUAACUACGUG